CCCUCCAAGCCUCUCAACGAUGCUCAAACGGGAGGGG
Molecule: small RNA, 37 nt
Filed under: Mycobacterium phage Thibault
Lineage: Duplodnaviria; Heunggongvirae; Uroviricota; Caudoviricetes
Also listed under: 1 other name
Description: abiF RNA
Rfam family: abiF RNA
Source: Rfam by way of RNAcentral